AUGAACGCUGGCGGCGUGCCUAAUACAUGCAAGUCGAGCGAACGGACGAGAAGCUUGCUUCUCUGAUGUUAGCGGCGGACGGGUGAGUAACACGUGGAUAACCUACCUAUAAGACUGGGAUAACUUCGGGAAACCGGAGCUAAUACCGGAUAAUAUUUUGAACCGCAUGGUUCAAAAGUGAAAGACGGUCUUGCUGUCACUUAUAGAUGGAUCCGCGCUGCAUUAGCUAGUUGGUAAGGUAACGGCUUACCAAGGCAACGAUGCAUAGCCUACCUGAGAGGGGGAUCGGCCACACUGGAACUGAGACACGGUCCAGACUCCUACGGGAGGGCGCAGUAGGGAAUCUUCCGCAAUGGGCGAAAGCCUGACGGAGCAACGCCGCGUGAGUGAUGAAGGUCUUCGGAUCGUAAAACUCUGUUAUUAGGGAAGAACAUAUGUGUAAGUAACUGUGCACAUCUUGACGGUACCUAAUCAGAAAGCCACGGCUAACUACGU
This 495-nucleotide ribosomal RNA is filed under the name uncultured bacterium. RNAcentral's name for it is "partial 16S ribosomal RNA". It matches the Rfam family "Bacterial small subunit ribosomal RNA", at positions 29 to 506 of the family's 1533-position model. The record is from RNAcentral.